RNAcentral lists this ribosomal RNA (301 nucleotides) under uncultured bacterium. Its description in RNAcentral is "partial 16S ribosomal RNA". It matches the Rfam family "Bacterial small subunit ribosomal RNA", at positions 509 to 809 of the family's 1533-position model. The record is from RNAcentral.
CAGUAGCCGCGGUAAAACGUAGGUGGCAAGCGUUGUCCGGAAUUAUUGGCCGUAAAGGGCUCGCAGGCGGUUUCUUAAGUCUGAUGUGAAAGCCCCCGGCUCAACCGGAGAGGGUCAUUGGAAACUGGGAAACUUGAGUGCAGAAGAGGAGAGUGGAAUUCCACGUGUAGCGGUGAAAUGCGUAGAGAUGUGGAGGAACACCAGUGGCGAAGGCGACUCUCUGGUCUGUAACUGACGCUGAGGAGCGAAAGCGUGGGGAGCGAACAGGAUUAGAUACCCCUGUAGUCCCUGUCUCUUAUAA